RNAcentral lists this ribosomal RNA (468 nucleotides) under uncultured bacterium. RNAcentral's name for it is "partial 16S ribosomal RNA". It matches the Rfam family "Bacterial small subunit ribosomal RNA", at positions 28 to 507 of the family's 1533-position model. The record is from RNAcentral.
GACGAACGCUGGCGGCGUGCUUAACACAUGCAAGUCGAACGGAAAGGCCCUGCUUUUGUGGGGUGCUCGAGUGGCGAACGGGUGAGUAACACGUGAGUAACCUGUCCUUGACUUUGGGAUAACUUCAGGAAACUGGGGCUAAUACCGGAUAGGAGCUCCUGCUGCAUGGUGGGGGUUGGAAAGUUUCGGUGGUUGGGGAUGGACUCGCGGCUUAUCAGCUUGUUGGUGGGGUAGUGGCUUACCAAGGCUUUGACGGGUAGCCGGCCUGAGAGGGUGGCCGGCCACAUUGGGCCUGAGAUACGGCCCAGACUCCUACGGGAGGCAACAGUGGAGAAUAUUACACAAUGGGCGGAAGCCUGAUGCGACAACGCCGCGUGCGGGAUGACGGCCUUCUGGUUGUAAACCGCUUUCGCCUGUGACGAAGCGUGAGUGACGGUAAUGGGUAAAGAAGCACCGGCUAACUACGUG